GACGAACGCUGGCGGCGUGCUUAACACAUGCAAGUCGAACGGAAAGGCCCUGCUUUUGUGGGGUGCUCGAGUGGCGAACGGGUGAGUAACACGUGAGUAACCUGCCCUUGACUUUGGUAUAACUUCAGGAAACUGGGGCUAAUACCGGAUAGGAGCUCCUGCUGCAUGGUGGGGGGUGGAAAGUUUCGGCGGUUGGGGAUGGACUCGCGGCUUAUCAGCUUGUUGGUGGGGUGGUGGCUUACCAAGGCUUUGACGGGUAGCCGGCCUGUGAGGGGGACCGGCCACAUUGGGCCUGAGAUACGGCCCAGACUCCUACGGGAGGCAGCAGUGGGGAAUAUUGCACAAUGGGCGGAAGCCUGAUGCAGCAACGCCGCGUGCGGGAUGACGGCCUUCGGGUUGUAAACCGCUUUCGCCUGUGACGAAGCGUGAGUGACGGUAAUGGGUAAAGAAGCACCGGCUAACUACGUG
Molecule: ribosomal RNA, 468 nt
Filed under: uncultured bacterium
Lineage: Bacteria
Description: partial 16S ribosomal RNA
Rfam family: Bacterial small subunit ribosomal RNA
Source: RNAcentral